This 253-nucleotide ribosomal RNA is filed under the name uncultured bacterium. RNAcentral's name for it is "partial 16S ribosomal RNA". It matches the Rfam family "Archaeal small subunit ribosomal RNA", at positions 474 to 727 of the family's 1478-position model. The record is from RNAcentral.
UACCAGCACCCCGAGUGGUUGGGACGAUUAUUGGGCCUAAAGCAUCCGUAGCCGGUUCUGCAAGUCCUCCGUUAAAUCCACCUGCUCAACAGAUGGGCUGCGGAGGAUACCGCAGAGCUAGGAGGCGGGAGAGGCAAACGGUACUCAGUGGGUAGGGGUAAAAUCCGUUGAUCCAUUGAAGACCACCAGUGGCGAAGGCGGCUUGCCAGAAUGCGCUCGACGGUGAGGGAUGAAAGCUGGGGGAGCAAACCGG